This 313-nucleotide ribosomal RNA is filed under the name Bacillus pumilus. RNAcentral describes it as "bacterial SSU rRNA". It matches the Rfam family "Bacterial small subunit ribosomal RNA", at positions 228 to 524 of the family's 1533-position model. Lineage: Bacteria; Bacillati; Bacillota; Bacilli; Caryophanales; Bacillaceae. The record is from RNAcentral.
GACCCGCGGCGCAUUUGCUUAGUUUGGUGAGGUAAACGGCUUCACCAAGGCGACGAUUGCGUUAGCCGACCUGAGAGGGUGAUCGGCCACACUUGGGACUUGAGACACGGCCCAGACUCCUACGGGAGGCAGCAGUAGGGAAAUCUUCCGCAAUGGACGAAAGUCUGACGGAGCAACGCCGCGUGAGUGAUGAAGGUUUUCGGAUCGUAAAGCUCUGUUGUUAGGGAAGAACAAGUGCAAGAGUAACUGCUUGCACCUUGACGGUACCUAACCAGAAAGCCACGGCUAACUACGUGCCAGCAGCCGCGGUUAA